This 274-nucleotide ribosomal RNA is filed under the name uncultured bacterium. RNAcentral describes it as "partial 16S ribosomal RNA". It matches the Rfam family "Bacterial small subunit ribosomal RNA", at positions 523 to 796 of the family's 1533-position model. The record is from RNAcentral.
AUACGGAGGGGGCAAGCGUUGUUCGGAAUUACUGGGCGUAAAGGGCGCGCAGGCGGUUUCGUUAGUCAGGCGUGAAAUCCCCGGGCUCAACCCGGGAACUGCGUUUGAUACUGCGGAACUAGAGAUCGGGAGAGGGUAGUGGAAUUCCCAGUGUAGAGGUGAAAUUCGUAGAUAUUGGGAAGAACACCAGUGGCGAAGGCGGCUACCUGGACCGAUACUGACGCUGAGGCGCGAAAGCGUGGGGAGCGAACAGGAUUAGAUACCCCAGUAGUCC